CUCGCCGGCUCCUACGCAUCGUGUCGGGGAAGGAAUACGUGGGUGUGCUGUUCGAUGAUUGAGAUCAAACAGCAGAUGUGCCGUGGAGCUGCCACACCUUCCUUACGGGAGCCGCCUAUGAAGCGACGCAAGGACAGCACCAGACGGGCAAGUCAAACCCAACUCCUGUCGAUCCAACGGGUUUCGGUCCUCUUCGUCCGCCCUUGGCUCGAUCUUGACCGUUGAUCCAUGGCAUCACUCUUUUAUUAUGUUGUCUCCUCCUCUCACUCCGUUGUCGUUCGUUGUUUGUUCUUGCGUCGCCGAGUUCAAAAGCGUCUUCCUUCCCCUUUCCUCUCCCUGUAUACCCGUCGCCGUUCCUUGCUCGCCCGAUCACCGCCACGAGCCGCCGCCCUCGUCGCAGUGCCGGCAUUGAUCGGGCCCUGCCGGAUCGGGCCGACGGGGCGGCAAUGAUGAUGAGGCGGGUGGCGGCAUCGCUGGUGCCGCCGUGGCUGGAGCCCCUCCUCUCCGCCCACUUCUUUACUGCUUGCCCCCUCCACCGGGACGCUCCCCGCAGCGAGUGCAACAUGUUCUGCAUCGAUUGCGGCCCCGCCUCGUCUUCUUUCUGCUUCUACUGCCGCUCCGACAGCCACGCCGGCCACCGCGUCAUCCAGAUACGGCGGUCGUCGUACCACGACGUGGUGCGGGUGGCGGAGAUCCAGAAGAUGCUCGACAUCAGCGGCGUCCAGACCUACGUCAUUAACAGCGCGCCCGUGCUCUUCCUCAACGAGAGGCCGCAGCCGCGCGGGGGCGGACGCGGAGGCGGCGCCUCCGCUGCUUCCUCAUCCACCUCAACCCCUUACACCUGCGAGAUCUGCUCCCGCUCGCUCCUCGAUCCCUUCCGCUUCUGCUCCCUCGGCUGCAAGUUGGCGGGGGUAAAGCGGAACAGCGACGCGACCUUCGUCCUGAACCCCGGCGACGUGGAGCCGAGCGACGGCGGCGGGGGCAUAAGGGAUUCAUCGUCGACGGCGGCGGAGGAGAGCAAGUCCGGACGAAGGGGAAGGUCGAGCGGGGGAUCGCGCGAGGGAACGAGGCACGAAGCCCGAGGCCCGGCGCCUCCUCCUCCCGCUCCCAACUCGAGGAGGCGGAAGGGGAUCCCCCGCCGCGCCCCCUUCGCCUCCUGACCUUCCCCAGCUUGUAAAUUACUAAACCAGACGAAGAAGACGAAGAAGAAGAAGCAAACAGUACUGCAUAGAUUACUACUAUAAUGAAAAGCGUCAUUCAGAUUCCGACGUUUCCCGAGAGAGAGAGAGAGAGAGAGAGAGAAUAGUGCUGCUCUCAGCACCAGCAUACAACGACGACGGAGAGGGAAAGCGAGCGUGAAGUAGAUCAUUGUAAUAAGUGCAUCCAAGUGAAAUAGUACGACCGACACAAAUUCUUUACUUCCAAAGCUGCUCGUCGUCAACCAGAAGCCAAAGGAAGUAUACGCUGCAGCAGCAACAGCACUGUCUUUACCUUUUCACCUCCAUGGUCGGGACUCGUUCGCAGACACUUGUGGUAACCUUAACCCAAACACGGUUGAGGAAAGCUCGGUAUCUUCUUCGUUCAUCGGAAAAGGCAGUCGAGGGAGAUAAGAAAUACAAGUAGGUCCAAAAGAUCAAGCAUGUACUUCCAAUCACCUCAGAGUAGGGUGGUGUGCGCCGAGGCUGUGCAUUGCAAUCAAUGGGAGCAGGACCCGGUGGGGCGAACCCAGCACAUGGAUGAUGAUUGGGAUUUGGAGUGGAAACAUUUGUUGGAGCAAUUACUUUUACAGGAAGAAGAGAAGAGACCACAAGUAGUUUACAUAAAAUACCACACUGUGGAGUCCCCUCCGAAAGGACCACCAUGGCUUUUCACAUCUCGGGUGAGGACCACGAUGGAGAAGACAGAGGGGAGGAGGGGAGGAGUGUUUAGUUCCAUGGCUAGUUUAGUCGAUUAGGUCUGUGGUCGAGUUGCAUUAUUGGGUGGGUUGUUGUCACACACCAUCUUGCACAUCUGUCAAUCACUAAGAACAAUAAGAAUCAAUUGAUGCCCUGCUCGAUCGAGU
Molecule: RNA transcript, 2062 nt
Organism: Musa acuminata AAA Group (dessert banana)
Lineage: Eukaryota; Viridiplantae; Streptophyta; Magnoliopsida; Zingiberales; Musaceae
Gene name: protein RGF1 INDUCIBLE TRANSCRIPTION FACTOR 1-like
Exons: 4
Source: RefSeq, a predicted model, not a curated record